GAUGAAGAACGUAGCGAAAUGCGAUAAGUAAUGUGAAUUGCAGAACUCAGUGAAUCAUCGAAUCUUUGAACGCACAUUGCGCCCCCUGGUAUUCCGGGGGGCAUGCCUGUCCGAGCGUCAUUGCUGCCCUCAAGCACGGCUUGUGUGUUGGGCCUCCGUCCUCCUCCCGGGGGACGGGCCCGAAAGGCAGCGGCGGCACCGCGUCCGGUCCUCGAGCGUAUGGGGCUUCGUCACCCGCUCUUGUAGGCCCGGCCGGCGCUUGCCGACACAUCAAUCUUUUUUCCAGGUUGACCUCGGAUCAGGUAGGGAUACCCGCUGAACUUAAGCAUAUCAUAAGCGGAGGA
This 344-nucleotide unclassified non-coding RNA is filed under the name soil metagenome. Its description in RNAcentral is "partial contains 5.8S ribosomal RNA, internal transcribed spacer 2, and large subunit ribosomal RNA". The stretch from base 1 to 120 matches the Rfam family "5.8S ribosomal RNA", at positions 35 to 154 of the family's 154-position model. The record is from RNAcentral.